This is a long non-coding RNA of Hippocampus comes (tiger tail seahorse), 375 nucleotides long. RefSeq lists it as uncharacterized. The record is from RefSeq and is a predicted model, not a curated record. Lineage: Eukaryota; Metazoa; Chordata; Actinopteri; Syngnathiformes; Syngnathidae. The transcript has 4 exons.
GCCCCACACAGGCCCCCGCAUCCUGGAAGCCGCUGUCUCCUUCGCCCUCGGCCUCCGCCAAGGUCUGUUCCGGGGUUGGGAGUGCGGUUACGGACCAUGUAGCUGCCUGACUUUGACUGUGAUCCUGCUCUCCUCUUUUCCUUACCCACUCAUCUCAGACGUCUCCUCCUCCUCCCGCCCGUGGUUGUCGUAGCGAGCAGGAGGCCGUUUUUCCAUGACUGGCUUCCAACUCCUCUUAAAGGUGCUAUUCUUAUCCUGCAGCUCUGUCACCCACCAUUCCCCGACCGGGCUUAUCUGAGAGGCUUCUGCUGCUCCCUUCCUCCCUGGAGCCUGAACCCCCACGGGGAGCCCCCGGAAAGGGUAACCACGAUCUCC